GUGCAGACUGCAGCAGACUGUACGGGCAGCAGAAAGGAUCAUCGGCGCCCCUGCCCUCCAUCCAGGAUCUGUACCUCUCAAGAACCAGGAAACGGGCAGGAAAAUCAUCACAGACCCCUCACACCCUGGACACAGACUUUUUGAUCUGCUGCCCUCUGGCAGACGGUACAGAAGCCUGCAGACCAGGACCACCCGACACAGGAACAGUUUCUUUCCCCUCGCCAUCUCCCUUCUAAACAGUUGAACUGUCACACUGCUCCCACUGCCAGACUGCAACUGCACCUUAUGUACAUUCUGCAGUAUUCAUUCCACCUCAUUUCAUUUCUGUCUUUUAUGUAUAUACGUUUAGAUUAGUUAUUUAUAGUUGGUUUACACAGCUUUGUGUAUGUAUGUGUAUGCAUGUGCAAUGUAUAUAUAGAUACGUGUGUGUGUGGGUGCGUGUGUGUGUGUGUGUGUGUGUGUGUGUGUGAGAUUUACAUUGCUGUGCUCGAGAGCCACCAUCUACCGGAACCAAAUUCCUUGUAUUUGUCUGCACAUAUACUUGGCCAAUAAACACGAUUCUGAUGAUUUGGCACAAAAACCAUGAUUUGGCAAAAUUACUAUGAUUUAGCAGAAAUACUAUGAUUGAGCAGAAGUACUAAGAUGUAGUAAAAGUACUUUGAUUUAAGAGAAAUCCAAUUAUGGAGGAGUAAUACUUUAAAAUGGGAGAAAUAUUGAUACACACACACAUUCACAGAGCCUAAAGGGAAGAGUAUUUGUGCCAUGGAGUGUUAAGAAGAAUGUGAGGUCCAUAUUAGAAAAGCUGGUAAAAAGUUUUCAGAAUUGUAAUAAAUGAUGAAUAUGAAUUAGUGGUCUGUGAUAGUGUAUUAAUUUGUAGGGCAAAAAACAUGUUGUCCAAGGUGGAGUUGAACCCAUGACUUUUGGGUUGCAGACCUGUGUCAUUACCAGCUGCGCCACUGGGAAAGACAGUGAGCACUUGGGAAACAGGGUGAUGAGCAGUCAGAAUUAGAUCGCGGUGUGAGGCAAAGAGCGCCGUUUUUUGGAGUUACAAAACGUCGUGUAACUCCAAAACUAGGUGGACUAGGAGCAUAAUUCUUGUACUGGGUGAAUCAGCGGACUUUGGUGUACUUUGACUGCGA
Oreochromis aureus is the source of this 1139-nucleotide long non-coding RNA. Lineage: Eukaryota; Metazoa; Chordata; Actinopteri; Cichliformes; Cichlidae. The record is from Ensembl.